GGAAAGGUCCGCCGAAGGAUGAGCCCAUAUCCCAUUAGCUAGUUGGUGCGGUAAAAGCGUACCAAGGCGAAGAUGGGUAACUGGUCUGAGAGGAUGAUCAGUCACACUGGAACUGAGACACGGUCCAGACUCCUACGGGAGGCAGCAGUGGGGAAUAUUGCGCAAUGGGCGAAAGCCUGACGCAGCAACGCCGCGUGAGUGAAGAAGGCCUUUGGGUUGUAAAGCUCUUUCGGCCGGGAAGAAUGAUUGUACCGGAAGAUAAAGCACCGGCAAACUUCGUGCCAGAAGCCGCGGUAAUACGAAGGGUGCGAGCGUUGUUCGGAAUUACUGGGCGUAAAG
Molecule: ribosomal RNA, 339 nt
Filed under: uncultured soil bacterium
Lineage: Bacteria
Description: bacterial SSU rRNA
Rfam family: Bacterial small subunit ribosomal RNA
Source: RNAcentral